GUACUCGAAUAGAGGUUGUCCAUGAUGUGUUCAUUCUCUUUAUGAUGAGUAUUACAUGGCCAAUCUCCUUUCGGUACU
This 78-nucleotide microRNA precursor is filed under the name Octodon degus (degu). Lineage: Eukaryota; Metazoa; Chordata; Mammalia; Rodentia; Octodontidae. The record is from RNAcentral.